GAUGAACGCUAGCGGGAGGCCCAACACAUGCAAGCCGAGCGGUAUUUGUUCUUCGGAACAGAGAGAGCGGCGCACGGGUGCGGAACACGUGUGCAACCUGCCUUUAUCUGGGGGAUAGCCUUUCGAAAGGAAGAUUAAUACCCCAUAAUAUAUUGAGUGGCAUCAUUUGAUAUUGAAAACUCCGGUGGAUAGAGAUGGGCACGCGCAAGAUUAGAUAGUUGGUGAGGUAACGGCUCACCAAGUCAAUGAUCUUUAGGGGGCCUGAGAGGGUGAUCCCCCACACUGGUACUGAGACACGGACCAGACUCCUACGGGAGGCAGCAGUGAGGAAUAUUGGACAAUGGGUUAGCGCCUGAUCCAGCCAUCCCGCGUGAAGGACGACGGCCCUAUGGGUUGUAAACUUCUUUUGUAUAGGGAUAAACCUACUCUCGUGAGAGUAGCUGAAGGUACUAUACGAAUAAGCACCGGCUAACUCCGUG
RNAcentral lists this ribosomal RNA (479 nucleotides) under uncultured bacterium. RNAcentral describes it as "partial 16S ribosomal RNA". It matches the Rfam family "Bacterial small subunit ribosomal RNA", at positions 28 to 507 of the family's 1533-position model. The record is from RNAcentral.